Molecule: non-coding RNA, 449 nt
Organism: Arachis ipaensis
Lineage: Eukaryota; Viridiplantae; Streptophyta; Magnoliopsida; Fabales; Fabaceae
Source: RefSeq, a predicted model, not a curated record
UGAAGCCCAAACCUAAGAUUUAAGAUGUCCUCACAAAGUUGUUGAGGUGCUAAGAGUUUAAGACAAACAUAAUGGCCAAAGUUUAUGGAGUUGUAUGAUUUGUUGUUUUCCAAGUCUGGCCCAUAUGGUUUAUGUGAGGACAAAACUCUGUGAUCUUGAUCUUAUCUCAAUUACAUUACAACACGAGGCAAAAGAUUUCUUCAACUUCACUGUUACUAUUUCACAGCAUUAAGAAAAUAACGACAAACCAAACAAAAUAGUAAGUUGUCUCUUUUCAAACUUUAAUAUCUCCAAAUCAAAGUAACCAAACAAAACAAAAGCAAAAGAGGUUCUGAGUACAAAUACACUUUUCAAACAUACAACAAUUUGAUUUAAGCAUUAGACAACAAUAAUUGAAUAUCAAGAAGAAAAAAAGUCCUAUUACAUAAAAUUGUUAUGAACUGUAGACU